AGAAUCAACGCUGGCGGCGUGCCUAACACAUGCAAGUCGAACGCGAAAGGGACUUCGGUCCUGAUUAGAGUGGCAAACGGGUGAGUAACACGUGGGUGACCUACCUUCAAGUGGGGGAUAACGUUCCGAAAGGAACGCUAAUACCGCAUAUUGUCCCGUCUUUAGACAGACGACGAUGAAAGCCGGGGAUCGCAAGACCUGGCGCUAGGAGAGGGGCCCGCGUCCGAUUAGCUAGUUGGUGAGGUAACGGCUCACCAAGGCGACGAUCGGUA
This 272-nucleotide ribosomal RNA is filed under the name uncultured bacterium. Its description in RNAcentral is "partial small subunit ribosomal RNA". It matches the Rfam family "Bacterial small subunit ribosomal RNA", at positions 26 to 285 of the family's 1533-position model. The record is from RNAcentral.